GUGGACGCUUGCCAUACGCCCUGACCCGGCAGGUAUGGAACACCGCGUGGCGACCGGCAUGGACAACGGCGUCCUCCGGAUC
Pseudomonas syringae pv. tomato str. DC3000 is the source of this 82-nucleotide regulatory RNA element. It matches the Rfam family "livK RNA". NCBI's taxonomy places the organism in Bacteria, Pseudomonadati, Pseudomonadota, Gammaproteobacteria, Pseudomonadales, Pseudomonadaceae. The record is from Rfam.